GAUGAACGCUGGCGGCGUGCCUAAUACAUGCAAGUCGAGCGAACAGAUGAGAAGCUUGCUUCUCUGAUGUUAGCGGCGGACGGGUGAGUAACACGUGGGUAACCUACCUAUAAGACUGGGAUAACUCCGGGAAACCGGGGCUAAUACCGGAUAAUAUUUUGAACCGCAUGGUUCAAUAGUGAAAGACGGUUUCGGCUGUCACUUAUAGAUGGACCCGCGCCGUAUUAGCUAGUUGGCAAGGUAACGGCUUACCAAGGCGACGAUACGUAGCCGACCUGAGAGGGUGAUCGGCCACACUGGAAAUGAGACACGGUCCAGACUCCUACGGGAGGCAGCAGUAGGGAAUCUUCCGCAAUGGGCGAAAGCCUGACGGAGCAACGCCGCGUGAGUGAUGAAGGUCUUCGGAUCGUAAAACUCUGUUGUUAGGGAAGAACAAAUUUGUUAGUAACUGAGCAAGUCUUGACGGUACCUAACCAGAAAGCCACGGCUAACUACGUGCCAGCCGCCGCCGUAA
This 514-nucleotide ribosomal RNA is filed under the name uncultured bacterium. RNAcentral describes it as "partial 16S ribosomal RNA". It matches the Rfam family "Bacterial small subunit ribosomal RNA", at positions 28 to 523 of the family's 1533-position model. The record is from RNAcentral.